AGAUUUCUUUGUUAUUGUUAAAGGUUUAAAUUAAGGGUAAAGUUUGAUUCUUGCUGAAUCGUUGGUUUUAAAUAUAUUUUAUAUGUUAAUUUUUUCUUAAUGGUUGUUUUACAAUAAUUGUGAUUGAAUAUCAAGGUAGUUUGGAUUUGGUAAUAUUUUUUGUGUCGGCUUAUAAUGUGCCAGCAGCCGCGGUUAUACAUUAGAUGCUUAUUAACGGUUUUCUUUUAUACAGUUCUUAUUUUUUUUAUUUUGGUUUUGUUUUUAAGUGAAAUUUUAAUCUUUUUUAUUUUUUUUUCUUUAUCUUGUGAAGCUUUCUUUUUUAAACUGGGAUUAGAUACCCCAUUAUUGGAAGUUUAAAUUUUUAUUUUGAGUAGUAUUAGUUAUGUUCUUGAAACUUAAAGAAUUUGGCGGUAUUUUAGUCCUUUUAGAGGAAUCUGUCUUGUAAUCGAUAAUCCGCGUUGAACCUUUCUUUAAUUUUUUUUGUAUACCUCCGUUGUAAGAAAAUUUUUUUAGGAUUAUUAAUUUUCUUUAGUUUUUUUUAAAAAUUAUUUCAGGUCAAGGUGCAGUUUAUAUUAAAGUUUUGAUGGAUUACAUUGUAUUAAAUUUUUAUUUGGAUUUUUUUUGUAAGUUUGAAUUAAAUUGGAUUUAAUUGUAAUUUUAUGAAGUUUGUUAAUUUGGAAAGGCUCUAUAAUAUGUACACAUCGCCCGUCACUCUCGCUUUACUGUGAGAAAAGUCGUAACAUAGUGGUCGUACCGGAAGGUGUGGCUGGAUUGUUU
Molecule: ribosomal RNA, 777 nt
Filed under: Anaplecta sp. 5 ZQW-2020
Lineage: Eukaryota; Metazoa; Arthropoda; Insecta; Blattodea; Anaplectidae
Description: 12S ribosomal RNA
Source: RNAcentral